RNAcentral lists this transfer RNA (75 nucleotides) under Gordonia phage Neville. RNAcentral describes it as "tRNA-Gly". It matches the Rfam family "tRNA". Rfam says of the family: Transfer RNA (tRNA) molecules are approximately 80 nucleotides in length. Their secondary structure includes four short double-helical elements and three loops (D, anti-codon, and T loops). Lineage: Duplodnaviria; Heunggongvirae; Uroviricota; Caudoviricetes. RNAcentral also lists the same sequence under 2 other names. The record is from RNAcentral.
GCCUUAGAAACCGAAUUGGCUAGGUGCCUGACUUCCAAUCAGGAUUUUGCGGGUUCAAGUCCCGUCUAAGGCUCC